Long non-coding RNA from Callithrix jacchus (white-tufted-ear marmoset), 7097 nucleotides. RefSeq lists it as uncharacterized. The record is from RefSeq and is a predicted model, not a curated record. NCBI's taxonomy places the organism in Eukaryota, Metazoa, Chordata, Mammalia, Primates, Cebidae.
CUUGAUGCCCUGCGGGAGAUCAGCCCCCCCUGCCUUUGUGGGGGACACUGAGUUCCAAGGGGAGGGAAGAGAUGGCCCAGAGCAGGGAUCAGCCCUGACCCAUCAGUGUUCAGUGAGAAGCAGGAGACGGAAUUAAUUGCAAGGAACUGUCUUACUCAAUGGAGGGGCUGCUGAGCCAGUCUGCAAUGUACAGGGCAGGCCAGAACCGUGGGGAGUGGGCUGAAAUGGGCACCUGUGGCAAAAUUCCUUCUCCAUCAGGGAAGCCUCAGCUUUUAAGGCCUUUCAAGGGACUGAACCAGACCCACCCAGGUCCCAAGGACGCUCUUCCUGAAAGCUCCUGUGUAACCUUCCAGGCAAUGCCUCUGUUAGGGUUUGAUUGAGCGACAGAGAAGGUACCCUGGCCAGGUCGACCCUCACAGCUGCCCUGGUCAUUUGCUGCUGGAAGGGCCCUCCCCUUCGGUGGGGUUGCUCUGGGGAUCCUGGGCCAAGACAUGAGGGCAGCUGGUGGGUGGUGCCAGCUCAGCCCCUCCCACCUGGGGCAAAUUGCACCUGCCGGGUCCUGGCGCUGGGCUCACUGCACCUGCAGCAGCGGGGGGCCGGGAGAGCAGGAAACAGGAGACCAAGCAGAGAGAGCCACCUGCUGCCAGGAAAUGUUGUCACCCAGGCGCAGGGCUGGAGCAGGGCCUCCACGGUGAAGGGGCCGCCUCCACCUUAUUCUUCUCUUGCAUUUCUUUUAAAUAAUGAAGCUGCUGGAAGAACGGGGAGAGGAAAUUGGCAGGAACAGGAAGCUGGGCACCACGGUGCUGCCUGAAAACAGUCAUUGUCUUGGAAGUGCUGCUUCGCACAUGAAAAGCUGGAGGCUGUUGACGCUCUUCCCUUUUAGUAACAAGUGACUCCCUGUCAUUGUGGAACAGGCUAUCAGAACCCUUCAGGUAAUUGGAGGUGCAGCUGUGUCACUCUGUUCCCAAGUAAAGAGGCUGGAGGCUGGAGUGGGCAGGUGGGUGGUUGGGGACCGAGGGGCCCAAACCCUGUGCAGGUGUCCUGUAGUCUGAAGACCAGGUCCUGGGACAGGGUGUUCCCCGCCAUAGGCCCCUCCCCACCCCUCACUGCUCCUGCCCAUCCAGGUAUCACAGACCACUCAGUCUCACACUCUCACCGUAGCAUGGGGAAACUGAGGCACAGAAAGGGGUCGUGCUUGACUCAGGUUGGGGAGAAGCACCCAGGAAGCCCCUAGAGGUUCAUCCCGCAGACCCAGCUUGGUGGGAGGCCUCGGAGCCAGGAAACACAGGUCAGAUCCCAGGGCCGCCAGGAGGCUGGUGCCUUUCCAUAACCCGGACUUACGGAGCCAGUGUGCGGGGCAGAGGGCAGGUGCCAGGUCCCCUUCGUUGCCUUCAAGUUUCGACAGAGAUUAACGGCUCCCAGUCUCAGCAGGGUCACUGUUGAGGGCUGGCAGGUGCCUCUGGGGGUUGUGGGGAAGGCGAUGGGCUUGGGAGAGUGUGUGAGUCUGCGCCAGGUGAGGUGGCUGGAACAGAGGCCCUGCAAAUUCAGAGGGCGGUCUCCCCUCUGGGAAGCAUGUGGCUGGGCAGCUUGUGUUCCUUCCAGAACUUCCAGGUUCCUGGACACUCCAGGCUGCUACCCAGAGGGGCAAGAGACAGCGAGGGACACGCCAUGAGUGUAAGACUGAGCCCAGAAACUGCCACGGCCACCCAUGGCACCUCUGCCCAUGCCCAGUGACAAAAUCCUGGAUGCAUAUGGGAAGGAGGAAGGCUCUAGGUGGACAGCCAGUGGACAGAAGGCACACUGAAUAUCGUUUAGGGUGGUAUGUGUGAAAAGCAUGACAUCGGCCAAGAUUGCCUGGCCUCUGCCCAGGGCUCCUGGGACAUCACUACAUCCUGAACGCUGGGGCCUCAGGCCACACCGAUGGUCUCAUGUGACUUCAGGGGAGGCUUCGAGCCUAGACGGCUCAGCUGUGUGGGCACCAGCCAGGUCCACAUGACAGACCCCAAGGCAGGAGUUACCAUGGCUGUCAAUGCUCCGUACGCCUUGACCCACGUCGCUAAGGGAGGGGUGGGUCUCAUGCUAUCCAGGACCCCUGGGAGGACCACCAGGAGCUCUGUGUCUAACCCCUCCUGGGCUCUGUCCACGUGCCUCUUUCCAUUCUGGUUUUAUUUUUUAUAUUUUUGAGACAGGUCUCUCUGUCACUCAGACUGGAGUACAGGGCCUCAGUCACAGUUCACUGCAGUCUCGGCCUCACAGAGUCCUGCCAUCCACCCACACCAGCCUUGCAAGUAGCUGGGACCACAGCAUUUUAACACCGAAGAGAAUUUGGCUGAUUAGAAGCCAUGGAGCACCCCCUCGAUGCCAGCAGCACGAGUCCCACUGGCCUCCACCCUCUGGCCCUCUGUCUCCAUCUCUCUCGGCGGAGCUGGGGAGGAACUGGUGGGGGCAGGUGAGACAGGUCAGAGCUGUGUGACUCCUGUGGCUGCUGGGUGAGGAGGGAGUGAAGAGGGUGGAACAGGGGCCAAGGGUGCUUCAUAAGGAGAAGAGGAAGUUCCAUGGAGAGAGGCGCUGGGCAUGCGGAGCCCUUCCCUUUCUGCCUGGUUCUGGUGGGGCUGAGGUCCCAGAGUCGAGGGGGGAUCAGGAGUCCCAUCCCAGGUGAUGCUUGAGGGCACAGAGGGGCUCAGUGCAGCCUGGCAUGGGGUCCCCGCCCAGCCUCCUUCUGUGGAGUCUGCAAGGUCAAGAGGACAGUGAUCUCCUCCAGGUAUGGUGGCGUGCACCUGCAGUGCACACUGGCCCCACCCUGACUGCACAUCCUCCCCACCCUGCCUCUUCCACGGUCACCAUGGGGUUAAUAGUGCUCACUUAUUGCCACUGGCUGGGCACAGUGGCUCGUGCCUGCAAUCCCAGCACUUAGGGAGGCUGAGGUGGGAGGAUGGCUUGAAGCCAGGGGUUUGAGACCAGCCAGGGCAAGAUAGUGAGAUCCUGUCUCUACAAAAAAUAAAAAUUAAAAAAAGGCCAGGUGUGGUGGCUCAUGCCUGCAAUCUCAGAACUGUUUGAAGGUGAGGCAGAUGCCAGUGGACUGCGUGAGCUCAGGAGUUUGAGACCAGCCCGGGCAACAUGGCGAGAUCCCAUCUCUACAAAAAUAUAAAAUAAAGUAGCCAGGCAGCGCUGCGUCCUAUGAAACAUCCGCGGGGCACCUUCGUGUCUGUCUGCUGCUUGCCUGCUUCCUGGAGAUGUCCUUUCUGGAAUAAAAACAUCUUUCAAGGCUAAAAUUGACGACUGAGGAGCUCCUGGGCCCACGCCUCUCUGUGGCCGGCCACCACCUCUGGCCCUGCUCUGGUUCCUCCAGAAUCGCUUAAAAGCAAAGCUCCCAGGGAGAAUCAGGUGGGUCCCCCACCCUCAUCCCCAGCCUGGCCUGCCUAACACCCAUGACCUGGCCUUGGAUACUGCCUCCCACUACCACCCCUGUCCUCCCUCUGAUCCAGCUUCUUCCUUGAGCCCUGGGCCUCAGGCAGAGGCCCUGCCUCAGUGACCUCUGAGCUCAGCCUCCUCCUCAGCUCAGCCCUGGACAGAGCUGGGGCCGGUGGGUAUCCCCUACCCAGUACCUGGUCCCUUCCCAUGUCCAUAGCUGGGUCCUACUGACACCUGAGUCUGACCUGAGGGCAAGGGUUGGGCCAGGAGGGGCCACAGAGGCUGCUGGUGCUCAGGCAGGAAAAGCAGGGUCCAUCACCUUCUGUCUUUUCUCUGAGCUGCCACCCCUCACAGCCUCAGCCUGGGGCCAGUUACCGGGCGCUUCGCGAUGCUCCACAGGCCAUCUUGCUCCAAGGCUGUCUCCAGAGGCAGCAGCUGCUCAGCUCAGCGAGUCCACCAGGGGCGGGGGCGCCCUGUGGACGGUUCCCAGCUAUUCCUCCAGCUUGGAGGGAGGGUCAGGCCAGGAGGCUCUCAAGGCCGUCACUGGCACCACCUUUGCCUGCCUCUGGGUGACUCCCUGGAAGCCACAAAGCUGCUCCUUCUUCCAGGAAUGGCCACUGCUGUGAGCUCCUAUUCAUCCUCUGAAGGCUUUCCCUUCUCUCUCCUCCCUGUGCCCACCCCAGGGGUCAGUGCUGUGAGCUCCUGUUCAUCCUCCGAAGCCUUGCCCUUCUCUCUCCGCCCUGCGCCCACCCCGGGGAUCACUGCGGUGCCUCGGCCAUCCCCGACUCUCCCUGUCUGUCUUGGCGCUGCCUGAUGCUCCCUGAGGACAGCAGCCCCGAGUCAGCCCCACCCCACCCCUCCCUGGCAGUGACCCCCUUGUGCACAGCUGGUGAGGGGUGCCGCUUCAGGCUGCCCAUCCCCAAAGGCCCUGGUCCUGGGCUCCUGCUGACUUGUCUGGCAUCUUCCGUGCCAGGAGUCUGGGCUGUGAAGGAGGUAUUUUCAGCUGCUCUUCUCCCCGUAAUUAUCUUACCUCUGUUUUGCUGGGGUGCUCAGUGCAGCCCCGCUGAAAGAUGUCAGCAUCUCUCCACACUCAGGGCACCUGGGGACGAUGGGACCUCUGCCCUGGGAGUUGGAGUGGCGGAUGAGGGACAAGGGUGGUGGCCGCCCGGGAGCCUCCUUGGCUCACCUGCUCUCCCUGGAAAUGGGGGCUGGCCUCCUCACUCCUGGAUGAAGCAAGAGGCUUGUGGUCCACUCAGAAUCCCCACCUCCUGGAGCCUGUCCAUGGUAAGAAGGAAGCCUGAAGCCUGCAUGGAGCCCCUACCUGGGGUUUGCUCUUUCCAGCACCUGCUGAGCAGGGCUUCCCUAUUAAGAACAGCCGGGGUGUGGGUGGGGAUUCUAAUUCCUUUCCUGUGUGCAUGGAGGCACCUGUGGGAAGCGGGCCUGGGGUGAAGCCGGCUUCUCAGUCAGAGGAGGGAAGGGCCUGCCUGAGGCAGAUGGCAGAGCAAUGGCCGGGACCUGCCCAGGACUCUGGAGUUGCCAGACCAUAUGCCCCCUCAAGUCUGCCUGGGGGGCUGUCUGGUGGUGCCCAGUGACUCCCCUGCCUUUUUUGGCUCCCCUUCGCUCGGCCUUCAACACAACACACCCACAACAGCCCCUUUCGCCACCAUGGAGUGGAGAGUCACUCCAUGGCAGCCUGGAGUCACUCUUCCUCCAGCACCGGAGGCCCUAAGAAGGGACCCUGACACGCCCCGGCAGCUUUUCUCAGCACAGCUUCCUCUGACCAACACCUCCCCUGCAGCCCAAUCCUCUACCUUCUCCAGGUAGAGCCUGAGCUGCCUCCUCCAGGAAGCCCCCAUGAUGCUUGCUCCCAGGUGGUUCUUAAGGAAGUCAGCAGUCCUGGACACAUGACUAGAUUCACAGCUGGGCGUGGAUCCUCAGUCUCUUGAGACUGCAGGCACAGGAGGAGGCUGAGGCCCCACCUGACACACCCACACCCACCCCAGCCACCCCAGGACGGACCUAGUCUCCUGCUGUGCCUGUCCUCUGUGGUAGAGCCUCUGCCCUCAUCCACCUGCUGAUGCCCCCUCACCCCCUGUGGUGGGCAGAAUGGCCCUCCAAAAUGUCCUCAUGUUAGAUUCCCGGGCACGGGCAGCUCAGCUGCUCCUCAGCGGACCUCGACGUAAGUUGGUUAUCAUCUAUGUGGCCCAGCAUGACCGCAGGAUCCAAGGAGAGGGUGUGGCCAUGGCGCAGGCCAGGUGCUGCCAGGCGACCACAGCUGGACCUGCCAGGGCUCCAAGAGGACGCUCCCCUCGAACCUCCCAGGGGAACAUAGGCUGCAGACACGUUGAUUUUAGACCAUUGAGCCCCAGGGCUGGCCUCCUGACUCAGAGAGCCGUGAGACAGGAAAGGCGUGCUGUCUGAGCCACUGCAUCUGUGGCUGCAGCAGGGACCCAGCACAGCCUCCAUGAUGCCUGCUCUGUGCUGGACUUGCCAGUCCAGCGUCCCAGCAUGGGGCAGAUUCCCUCCUGGCUUCAGCCCUUCCCCUUCACCUGAUUGUGUGGCCCCUCUGGGCCUCAGUAUCCUCAUGGUAAAUCAGAGUGAUGAGGGUGUCUCCUGGGGCUGCUGUGGGGCUGACAUGUGGGUCAGAUAAGAUCCCAAAAGGUCAGCCCCGCCAGUAGGACAGCUGUGGAGAGGGGCAGGUGAGCACUGUGUGGUCAGGGCUGCCUGUCUGCUUCCCCCUUUAGAGCUGAGACCAGAGGGUCAGCUGGGGACCCAGUGUUGAGUCUGGCAGCCCUGCCCAGGCCCCUUGCAUGCUGGCCUUGGGAGCUACCCCUUGGCCUCUGUGUCUCAGGCCCUGUGUGGCAGCUGGCACUGGCCAGUGCUGUUUACGUGAGUGGUGAUGGCGGCUGCACCUGCUGGGGCCUCCUCAGUGGGGCUGGGGCCAUCCCUCCACUGCCCUUUCCCGGACUGCUCAUUUUGUGAGGUUGUUGUUCUUUAUUUGGUGUUUCUGCAUUUCUACUCUCCUCCCCUCCCCCACCAUCCAGGCGUUGCUAUGGGAACUGGGCUGAGGUCCCCGCAGCAUCCUUGAUAGAUGGGUUUCAGGCCUGGGCGGGUGAGUCGGGGGCUUGGGGCCUUGGGUCUUGAGGUUGGAAUCACGAGGUCCAGAGGAGGCAGAGCUGUCAGACACCCAUUCCUGCCCUGCAUACAGUGCUCCCACUCAGGGGACAGCCCUGUCGCUGCCACCCCUUGCUAUUACUGCUGUGGGCCCAGCUCCUGUUAUCUUUGGCCAGAUCUCCUCUGUCACAAUAGCUUGGGCUCUGUCCUCGCUGCCUGCUCUCUGACCUCCCCUUUGACCUCUGCAGGAGGGAGCCAGCCACACGGCCUCCCUGUGCUGGGCAUCUGCCUCCCCACAGAUGAUCAGAUUCGCAUGGUGACACUGGGGACUGGCUCCUGCAGAUGCUGGACACAGGUCCCAGCAGAGUCCUUGGCUUCCCUUGCUCUUACCUCGGUUUCCCCAUCCUGCAAUGGCAGCACUUGGGCCAUUGCCAAGUCACCAAAGCCACCUGCAGGUGGGCUCCAGGCCAUGCCUCGCCCUCAGACCACGCUCCAGCCCUGACAGCAUCCUGAUGGCGCCUGGCCAGAGGCUGGAAUAUGUCCUGCAUGGGGAAGAUUUUUGGAUAUAUUGG